AUUGAACGCUGGCGGAAUGCUUUACACAUGCAAGUCGAACGGCAGCAUAGGUGCUUGCACCUGAUGGCGAGUGGCGAACGGGUGAGUAAUAUAUCGGAACGUGCCCAGUCGUGGGGGAUAACGUAGUGAAAAUUACGCUAAUACCGCAUACGAUCUAAGGAUGAAAGCGGGGGAUCGCAAGACCUCGCGCGAUUGGAGCGGCCGAUAUCAGAUUAGGUAGUUGGUGAGGUAAAGGCUCACCAAGCCAACGAUCUGUAGCUGGUCUGGGAGGACGACCAGCCACACUGGGACUGAGACACGGCCCAGACUCCUACGGGAGGCAGCAGUGGGGAAUUUUGGACAAUGGACGCAAGUCUGAUUCAGCCAUUCCGCGUGCAGGACGAAGGCCUUCGGGUUGUAAACUGCUUUUGUACGGAACGAAAAGGUCUCUAUUAAUACUUGGGGCUCAUGACGGUACCGUAAGAAUAAGCACCGGCUAACUACGUGCCAGCAGCCGCCGUAA
This 502-nucleotide ribosomal RNA is filed under the name uncultured bacterium. RNAcentral describes it as "partial 16S ribosomal RNA". It matches the Rfam family "Bacterial small subunit ribosomal RNA", at positions 30 to 523 of the family's 1533-position model. The record is from RNAcentral.